This 253-nucleotide ribosomal RNA is filed under the name uncultured bacterium. RNAcentral's name for it is "partial 16S ribosomal RNA". It matches the Rfam family "Bacterial small subunit ribosomal RNA", at positions 524 to 776 of the family's 1533-position model. The record is from RNAcentral.
UACGAAGGGGGCUAGCGUUGCUCGGAAUCACUGGGCGUAAAGCGCACGUAGGCGGCUUUUUAAGUCAGGGGUGAAAUCCUGGAGCUCAACUCCAGAACUGCCUUUGAUACUGAGAAGCUUGAGUCCGGGAGAGGUGAGUGGAACUGCGAGUGUAGAGGUGAAAUUCGUAGAUAUUGGGAAGAACACCGGUGGCGAAGGCGGCUCUCUGGACCGAUACUGACGCUGAGGCGCGAAAGCCAGGGGAGCGAACGGG